UUCUCGUACGGUCAUCAAAGUUAAGUAACGUCGAGCUUGGUCAGUACUAAGAUGGGUGACCGCUUGGGAAUACCAGGUGCUGUAA
This is a non-coding RNA of Acanthosepion pharaonis, 85 nucleotides long. The record is from the annotation of a GenBank genome assembly. Lineage: Eukaryota; Metazoa; Mollusca; Cephalopoda; Sepiida; Sepiidae.